UAAAGCAAGAAAGGGCGUAUGGGGAAUGCCUAGGCACACUCCGGCGAAGAAGGACGCAGCAAACAGCGAAAUGCGACGGUGAGCGGUAAGCACGUGAAGAGCCGUCGAUAUCCGAAUGGGGGAACCCACACGGAGUCAUAUCCGUGUAUCACAUGUCGAAUACAUAGACAUGAUGAGGCGAGACGCAGGGAACUGAAACAUCUAAGUACCUGCAGGAAGAGAAAAUAAGAAUGAUUUUCUGAGUAGCGGCGAGCGAAAGGGAAAGAGCCCAAACCGAUUUUAGGAUCGGGGUAGUAGGAUCAUCGAGGAAUCUGACAGAGGAUCAUAGAGGAAUCACAUGGGAAGGUGAGCGAGAGAGGGUGAGAGCCCCGUACUCGAAAUGAGAGACUGGAGAGAGAUGACACCUGAGUAGGGCGGGACACGAGAAAUCCUGUCUGAAUCAGCCGGGACCAUCCGGCAAGGCUAAAUACGAGAGAGUGACCGAUAGUGAACCAGUACCGUGAGGGAAAGGUGAAAAGAACCCCGGGAGGGGAGUGAAAGAGAACCUGAAACCAUAUGCCUACAAGAAGUCAGAGCCCGUUAAAGGGUGAUGGCGUGCCUUUUGUAGAAUGAACCGGCGAGUUACUGUAUGGAGCGAGGUUAAGCAGGAUAUGCGGAGCCGAAGCGAAAGCGAGUCUUAAGAGGGCGCGAGUUGCAUGCAGUAGACCCGAAACCGGGUGAUCUAGCCAUGACCAGGUUGAAGUUGGGGUAAAACCCGAUGGAGGACCGAACCGACCCCCGUUGAAACGUUGGCGGAUGAGUUGUGGCUAGGGGUGAAAUUCCAAUCGAACCCGGAGAUAGCUGGUUCUCCCCGAAAUAGCUUUAGGGCUAGCGUCGAGAGAAGAGUUGCGUGAAGGUAGAGCACUGAAUAUGUGAUGGCCCCAUCUCGGGGUACUGAGCAUAAUCAAACUGCGAAUGUCACGCCAACAUGCUCGGCAGUCAGACAGCGGGUGAUAAGGUCCGUUGUCAAGAGGGAAACAGCCCAGACCAUCAGCUAAGGUCCCAAAAUGUAUGCUAAGUGGAAAAGGAUGUGGAGAUGUACAGACAACUAGGAGGUUGGCUCAGAAGCAGCCAUCCUUUAAAGAGUGCGUAACAGCUCACUAGUCGAAUGACUCUGCGCCGAUAAUUUACCGGGGCUAAGCAUACUACCGAAGCUAUGGAUCCCAAGGGAUGGUAGGGGAGCGUUCCAUGAACGGAGAAGUACGACCGAAAGGACGUGUGGAGAUCAUGGAAGAGAGAAUGCCGGUGUGAGUAGCGGAACGUGGGUGAGAAUCCCACGCACCGAAAACCCAAGGUUUCCAGAGGAAGGUUCGUCCGCUCUGGGUAAGUCGGGACCUAAGGCGAGGCCGAAAGGCGUAGUCGAUGGACAACAGGUAGAGAUUCCUGUACCCGUAUAUAUGUGAAGGAAUGACGGAGAGAGGAAGCUGCAGCCAGCGGCUGGAAGAGCUGGUGCAAGCGAGAUAUCGGGAUGGCAGGCAAAUCCACCAUCCGAAACGAGAAGGCGUGAAGCGUACGGAAAGCUACGGCGAGUACGGAAGGCAGUGGAGGAACUUCCAAGAAAAGUUUCUAACGUUAAGUAUAUAUGGCCCGUACCGAAAAUGGACACACAUGGGUGAGGAGAGAAUCCUAAGGUGAGCGAGAGAACUAUAGCUAAGGAACUCUGCAAAAUGACUCCGUAACUUAGGGAGAAGGAGUGCUCAUAGAGAUAUGAGCCGCAGUGAAACGGCCCAAGCGACUGUUUACCAAAAACACAGCUCUCUGCUAAGCCGCAAGGCGAAGUAUAGGGGGUGACGCCUGCCCGGUGCUGGAAGGUUAAGGGGAGGGGUUAACGCAAGUGAAGCCCUGAACUGAAGCCCCAGUAAACGGCGGCCGUAACUAUAACGGUCCUAAGGUAGCGAAAUUCCUUGUCAGGUAAGUUCUGACCCGCACGAAUGG
RNAcentral lists this ribosomal RNA (1974 nucleotides) under human gut metagenome. Its description in RNAcentral is "bacterial LSU rRNA". It matches the Rfam family "Bacterial large subunit ribosomal RNA", at positions 1 to 1999 of the family's 2925-position model. The record is from RNAcentral.